AUUAAAGUGACAGAAUUAAUGUGAGGAAUUUAAGCUUCCUUUAUGACUACUUCCUUUAAUA
Molecule: transfer RNA, 61 nt
Filed under: Rhipicephalus punctatus
Lineage: Eukaryota; Metazoa; Arthropoda; Arachnida; Ixodida; Ixodidae
Description: tRNA-Leu
Source: RNAcentral